GAUGAACGCUGGCGGCGUGCCUAAUACAUGCAAGUCGAGCGAAGCGGGGACGGGUGAGUAAUACGUGGAUAACCUCCUCUAAGUCUGGGAUAACUUCGGGAAACCGGAGCUAAACCGGAUACUUAUAGUCGCAUCCGUGCUGCAUUAGCUAGUUGGUAAGGUAACGGCAUACCAAGGCCACGAUGCAUAGCCGACCUGAGAGGGUGAUCGGCCACACGGGAGCUGAGACACGGUCCAGACUCCGACGGGAGGCAGCAGUAGGGAAUCUUACGCAAUGGGCGAAAGCCUGACGGAGCAACGCCGCGUGAGUGAUGAAGGUCUUCGGAUCGUAAAACUCUGUUAUUAGGGAAGCGGUACCUAAACAGAAAGCCACGGCUAACUACGUGCCAGCAGCCGCGGUAAUAC
This 405-nucleotide ribosomal RNA is filed under the name uncultured bacterium. Its description in RNAcentral is "partial 16S ribosomal RNA". It matches the Rfam family "Bacterial small subunit ribosomal RNA", at positions 28 to 526 of the family's 1533-position model. The record is from RNAcentral.